This 468-nucleotide ribosomal RNA is filed under the name uncultured bacterium. RNAcentral describes it as "partial 16S ribosomal RNA". It matches the Rfam family "Bacterial small subunit ribosomal RNA", at positions 28 to 507 of the family's 1533-position model. The record is from RNAcentral.
GACGAACGCUGGCGGCGUGCUUAACACAUGCAAGUCGAACGGAAAGGCCCUGCUUUUGUGGGGUGCUCGAGUGGUGAACGGGUGAGUAACACGUGAGUAACCUGCCCUUGACCUUGGGAUAACUUCAGGAAACUGGGGCUAAUACCGGAUAGGAGCUCCUGCUGCAUGGUGGGGGUUGGAAAGUUUCGGCGGUUGGGGAUGGACUCGCGGCUUAUCAGCUUGUUGGUGGGGUAGUGGCUUACCAAGGCUUUGACGGGUAGCCGGCCUGAGAGGGUGACCGGCCACAUUGGGACUGAGAUACGGCCCAGACUCCUACGGGAGGCAGCAGUGGGGAAUAUUGCACAAUGGGCGGAAGCCUGAUGCAGCAACGCCGCGUGCGGGAUGACGGCCUUCGGGUUGUAAACCGCUUUCGCCUGUGACGAAGCGUGAGUGACGGUAAUGGGUAAAGAAGCACCGGCUAACUACGUG